Long non-coding RNA from Melitaea cinxia (Glanville fritillary), 168 nucleotides. RefSeq lists it as uncharacterized. Lineage: Eukaryota; Metazoa; Arthropoda; Insecta; Lepidoptera; Nymphalidae. The transcript is spliced from 3 exons. The record is from RefSeq and is a predicted model, not a curated record.
CCCUAUUAGUAUUAUUGUCGCAUUAUUUCUAUUUACUAUGAAUAAAAAACCUUGCGCUGGCGACACACUCUCUGACAUCUAAACAAAAGGACCAAUAACAUUGUUCUACACGAAGCUCUCAUUGGGUAAUCCUAAUCAGUUCAGCCUAUUGCAGUCCACUGCUGGACA